CCGCACAAGCGGUGGAGCAUGUGGUUUAAUUCGAUGCAACGCGAAGAACCUUACCUACUCUUGACAUCCAGGGAAUUUGGCAGAGAUGCCUUAGUGCCUUCGGGAACUGUGAGACAGGUGCUGCAUGGCUGUCGUCAGCUCGUGUUGUGAAAUGUUGGGUUAAGUCCCGCAACGAGCGCAACCCUUAUCCUUUGUUGCCAGCGAUUCGGUCGGGAACUCAAAGGAGACUGCCGGUGAUAAACCGGAGGAAGGUGGGGAUGACGUCAAGUCAUCAUGGCCCUUACGAGUAGGGCUACACACGUGCUACAAUGGCGCAUACAAAGAGAAGCGACCUCGCGAGAGCAAGCGGACCUCAUAAAGUGCGUCGUAGUCCGGAUCGGAGUCUGCAACUCGACUCCGUGAAGUCGGAAUCGCUAGUAAUCGUGGAUCAGAAUGCCACGGUGAAUACGUUCCCGGGCCUUGUACACACCGCCCGUCACAC
This 481-nucleotide ribosomal RNA is filed under the name Pantoea sp. Gym 7c. Its description in RNAcentral is "bacterial SSU rRNA". It matches the Rfam family "Bacterial small subunit ribosomal RNA", at positions 921 to 1402 of the family's 1533-position model. The record is from RNAcentral. Lineage: Bacteria; Pseudomonadati; Pseudomonadota; Gammaproteobacteria; Enterobacterales; Erwiniaceae.